RNAcentral lists this long non-coding RNA (478 nucleotides) under Marmota monax (woodchuck). Lineage: Eukaryota; Metazoa; Chordata; Mammalia; Rodentia; Sciuridae. The record is from RNAcentral.
UAAAUACAAUAUUCUCAGUGUAAAGAACCUAAAGGGGAAAAAAUUUGUUUUCAAAGAACCAGACAAGCUUUGGAUUCACACUGAAAAUACUACCUUGAACAGUUUUAAUUCAUUCUGUAUUCCUACAUAUUUUGGUCAGAAUGUGGGACAAUUGAAGGCUUUUCUACAACACUUAUAUAUGCCUUUGAACUGAACUGGAAGGAUGGAGGGAUUCUAACACCCUGGCAUUCAUAAGGUAUUUCACCAUUAUGCAUUCUCUCAUAUGCUGAAUUUUGUGCGAUGAAUAAAAGUUUUUCCACACAGGUUUCUCUCUUCCAUAAGUGUGACAGUUAGAAAUAUACUUUCCCACAUUUAUUACCUUCAUAAGGUUGCUCUCCAGUAUGAGCUCUUACAUAUAUCAGAAAGUAAAACUAAAGACUUCACCAUAAAUUUUUGCCAUGUUUUCAAAGGAACUGGGAAAACUGGAGAUUUUACUUUG